Molecule: ribosomal RNA, 797 nt
Filed under: Staphylococcus aureus
Lineage: Bacteria; Bacillati; Bacillota; Bacilli; Caryophanales; Staphylococcaceae
Description: bacterial SSU rRNA
Rfam family: Bacterial small subunit ribosomal RNA
Source: RNAcentral
GAGAGUUUGAUCCUGGCUCAGGAUGAACGCUGGCGGCGUGCCUAAUACAUGCAAGUCGAGCGAACGGACGAGAAGCUUGCUUCUCUGAUGUUAGCGGCGGACGGGUGAGUAACACGUGGAUAACCUACCUAUAAGACUGGGAUAACUUCGGGAAACCGGAGCUAAUACCGGAUAAUAUUUUGAACCGCAUGGUUCAAAAGUGAAAGACGGUCUUGCUGUCACUUAUAGAUGGAUCCGCGCUGCAUUAGCUAGUUGGUAAGGUAACGGCUUACCAAGGCAACGAUGCAUAGCCGACCUGAGAGGGUGAUCGGCCACACUGGAACUGAGACACGGUCCAGACUCCUACGGGAGGCAGCAGUAGGGAAUCUUCCGCAAUGGGCGAAAGCCUGACGGAGCAACGCCGCGUGAGUGAUGAAGGUCUUCGGAUCGUAAAACUCUGUUAUUAGGGAAGAACAUAUGUGUAAGUAACUGUGCACAUCUUGACGGUACCUAAUCAGAAAGCCACGGCUAACUACGUGCCAGCAGCCGCGGUAAUACGUAGGUGGCAAGCGUUAUCCGGAAUUAUUGGGCGUAAAGCGCGCGUAGGCGGUUUUUUAAGUCUGAUGUGAAAGCCCACGGCUCAACCGUGGAGGGUCAUUGGAAACUGGAAAACUUGAGUGCAGAAGAGGAAAGUGGAAUUCCAUGUGUAGCGGUGAAAUGCGCAGAGAUAUGGAGGAACACCAGUGGCGAAGGCGACUUUCUGGUCUGUAACUGACGCUGAUGUGCGAAAGCGUGGGGAUCAAACAGGAUUAGAUACC